This 301-nucleotide ribosomal RNA is filed under the name uncultured bacterium. Its description in RNAcentral is "partial 16S ribosomal RNA". It matches the Rfam family "Bacterial small subunit ribosomal RNA", at positions 509 to 809 of the family's 1533-position model. The record is from RNAcentral.
CAGUCGCCGCGGGAAUACGUAGGUGGCGAGCGUUGUCCGGAUUUAUUGGGCGUAAAGGGAGUGUAGGCGGUCUUUUAAGUCCGAUGUGAAAGCCCACGGCUCAACCGUGGAGGGUCAUUGGAAACUGUUAAACUUGAGUGCAAGAGGGGAGAGUGGAAUUCCAUGUGUAGCGGUGAAAUGCGUAGAUAUAUGGAGGAACACCGGUGGCGAAAGCGGCUCUCUGGCUUGUAACUGACGCUGAGGCUCGAAAGCGUGGGGAGCAAACGGGAUUAGAGACCCCCGUAGUCCCUGUCUCUUAUAA